AGAGACAGCAUCACGAUCAUGAUCACCACAGCAAUAAAGAAAUCUUCCUGGCAUGAGAACUCUGUGUCAUGUGGCUAUCUCGUGACAACUGGUGCCCAAACAGCGACCACGCACAAGGACCACAAACAGGGACCAUGAACAGGGACACAAACAGGGACUUGACCAGAGACUUAGCCUAACUUGAAGAUUGACCAGUCCAGAACGCGCUGAAAUAAACGCAGCAGGUGUUGAUAUAAAUGCAGAGCACGCUAAAUGCAUUGAGAAAAAUGUGGCAGACGUUGAGAAAAACGUGGAAAACCUGUACAGGGGAGCGUUGAGAUAAAGGUGACAGACCGAGGAUUCAUCAUCCCUAACCACUUUGAUUGUCUCUCUCCGGACGAAGUUCUCUCUAUUAACAGUGGGGAACCCCGUCACUGAUACCAUUGGACUGUGUUACCUCAGGGCAUGAAGAACAUUUGUCAACAAUUUGUUGCCGGAGUUUUAUCUCCUGUACGCCAGAGGUUUCCUGAUGUCUGCAUAUACCACUACAUGGACGAUAUCCUAGUCGCCACCCCAAGAGAGGUAACGGUGACUGAAGUCGUGUCAGUGAUCAUAACAGUAGCAACUCAGGCAGGAUUGCAGAUUGCACAGGACAAAAUCCAAAAGACAUCGCCUUGGCUAUAUCUGGACUGGAGGAUUUCGCAGACCUAAAUCUAGUCUCAGACUCUAACUUUGGGUACCAAAGUUAGCACCUUAAAUGAUCUGCAAUAGUUAUUAGGUGCCAUAAAUUGUGUGUGACCCCUAGUGGGGAAUUUAUACUGAAGAUCUUCACCCCCUCUUCAGAUUACCGGAAGGAGAUCCGGACUUAUCAUCACUGAGACAUUUGACACCAGCAGCAACGACAGCGCUGAAUACUGCCAUCUUGAAGAUGACCCAGCAAACAGUACAUCAAAGAAGACCUGAUCAUCCUAACCACAAGAACUAGAACUGUUGGAUUCGGUUAAAAUGGAUUAUUGUUUGUAUUUUAACUAUAGUGGAAAGAAUCAAUCAUUAGUUCAGUGCGUUAAUUCUAGUUUAGCUGCUUAUAGAAAUCAAUCUGCUUAAUUUAGCCUGGGAGUGUGGAUACAGAAUGUGUUAAAAUAGGGUUAGUUUUUGCUUUUCUCUGUGUUUUAGUUUGCAUUCCUUGCUUAUUACAGUGUGUUCAGAAGUGAUACAAGAUUCUUUAAAUCACGCUUUUUUCAUUAGUAAAGAAGGGGGAGAUGUGGGAGAUGGAAAGGUCAGCUCGUCCUCGUCAAAUGCUGACUCACUGAUAAUGAGGCUCUGGAAAGGAGACAGAAGGUCUGAAUAAACAGGGGUGUUUUGUACCUAGCCAUAAGAUAAACUGCUGAUUAUGAAGACUUGUUAUGGAAUUUGCUUGCUUUCUAGCCAAUCGAUUGUUAGUGGAAAUGUACUGAAUAUGUGUGUUAGAAUAUAAAAGUCUUGCUUUAGAAAGUAGACAUAGAGAGAGACAGCAUCAUGAUCAUGAUCAUUACGACAAUAAAGAAAUCUUCCUGGCACGAGAA
This is a long non-coding RNA of Gallus gallus (chicken), 1541 nucleotides long. RefSeq lists it as uncharacterized. The record is from RefSeq and is a predicted model, not a curated record. NCBI's taxonomy places the organism in Eukaryota, Metazoa, Chordata, Aves, Galliformes, Phasianidae. The transcript is spliced from 2 exons.